RNAcentral lists this long non-coding RNA (366 nucleotides) under Mytilus galloprovincialis (Mediterranean mussel). The record is from RNAcentral. Lineage: Eukaryota; Metazoa; Mollusca; Bivalvia; Mytilida; Mytilidae.
AAGUUUUCAGUUGUUUCAGGGCAGUCUGUGUUUCUAAAGGUAGCAUAUCAUCAUCAACACAAUGAUCAAUGUCUUCUUUCAAUUCCUUCUCCAUCAGCAAUCUGGUAGCAGCAUCGGUAGUAACAGUUUUGUUUGCAAAAGGGAAAUAAGCUUUCCUGUAAGCACCAUCAUACAGUCGCAGUUACAAAAUAUUAACUUCGCUUUUAUGCUGACAAAGAGUAGACAAACUAGGGAUAGAAUGAGAUAAGAUACAUGUAUAUGAUUCUAUCUAUAGAGUAAGUAUAUAUGGGUACAGGAGAAUUGGAAUGGAUUUUUUGACGUUUGUACAUGUAGUUCCGUAAUUUUAAAUUAUUUCUGGAAAUAGUU